This 793-nucleotide ribosomal RNA is filed under the name Methanosaeta sp. enrichment culture clone L35A_24. Its description in RNAcentral is "bacterial SSU rRNA". It matches the Rfam family "Archaeal small subunit ribosomal RNA", at positions 85 to 879 of the family's 1478-position model. Lineage: Archaea; Methanobacteriati; Methanobacteriota; Methanomicrobia; Methanotrichales; Methanotrichaceae. The record is from RNAcentral.
ACUGCUCAGUAACACGUGGACAACCUGCCCUUAGGUUGGGUAUAAACCCGGGAAACUGGGUAUAAUACCCGAUAGGUCUCGAUUGCUGGAAUGCAUCGAGAUUUAAAGCUCCGGCGCCUAAGGAUGGGUCUGCGGCCUAUCAGGUAGUAGUGGGUGUAGCGUACCUACUAGCCUACGACGGGUACGGGUUGUGAGAGCAAGAGCCCGGAGAUGGAUUCUGAGACACGAAUCCAGGCCCUACGGGGUGCAGCAGGCGCGAAAACUUUACAAUGCUGGCAACAGCGAUAAGGGAACCUCGAGUGCCAGGUUACAAAUCUGGCUGUCGAGAUGCCUAAAAAGCAUUUCAUAGCAAGGGCCGGGCAAGACCGGUGCCAGCCGCCGCGGUAACACCGGCGGCUCGAGUGGUAACCGUUAUUAUUGGGUCUAAAGGGUCUGUAGCCGGCCGGAUAAGUCUCUUGAGAAAUCUGGCAGCUUAACUGUCAGGCUUUCAGGAGAUACUGUCUGGCUCGAGGCCGGGAGAGGUGAGAGGUACUUCAGGGGUAGGGGUGAGAUCUUGUAAUCCUUGAAGGACCACCAGUGGCGAAGGCGUCUCACCAGAACGGACCUGACGGCAAGGGACGAAAGCUAGGGGCACGAACCGGAUUAGAUACCCGGGUAGUCCUAGCCGUAAACGAUACUCGCUAGGUGUCGGCCACGGUGCGACCGUCGUCGGUGCCGUAGGGAAGCCGUGAAGCGAGCCACCCGGGAAGUACGGCCGCAAGGCUGAAACUUAAAGGAAUUGGCGGGGGAGCAC